UACAGAGGGUGCGAGCGUUGUCCGGAAUCACUGGGCGUAAAGGGCGCGUAGGUGGUGGCUUAAGCGUGCGGUGAAAGCUCGGAGCUCAACUCCGAGUCGGCCGUGCGAACUGGGCUCACUGGAGCAUAGUAGAGGCAGGUGGAAUUCCGGGUGUAGCGGUGGAAUGCGUAGAGAUCCGGAAGAACACCGGUGGCGAAGGCGGCCUGCUGGGCUAUGGCUGACACUGAGGCGCGCAGCGUGGGGAGCAAACAGG
This 253-nucleotide ribosomal RNA is filed under the name uncultured bacterium. RNAcentral describes it as "partial 16S ribosomal RNA". It matches the Rfam family "Bacterial small subunit ribosomal RNA", at positions 524 to 776 of the family's 1533-position model. The record is from RNAcentral.